Molecule: long non-coding RNA, 10621 nt
Filed under: Salvia miltiorrhiza (redroot sage)
Lineage: Eukaryota; Viridiplantae; Streptophyta; Magnoliopsida; Lamiales; Lamiaceae
Description: long non-coding RNA (SMIL_LNC010391)
Source: RNAcentral
AAAUAGACAAAUUAAAAGUGGUACACGACUCUUAAAUUUUUAUUUUUGGACCCCACCGUAUCCCUUAUUAUUUGAACAAAAUUUAUGGGACAAAAUACGGCUCUUCUAACAUGUGAUGGAUCAGCAGAAAUGGUGCGUCGCUCUUCUAAUUCAAACCACCUGUAAUAUGCUACACACUGUUUGCGUGAUUGUGAGCAGAAGCAGCAUGCACCACAAUUAGAGAAUAAUAGCCAAGGACUACUUAAAUAAUUAGCCUCAACGUGGCCAUCCACCUAUUCCUUCUUUCUGCAAUGCUUUUCCACAUUCUCAAACAUCUCCGCAUAGCUUGUGUUAGGCACAACAAUCGAAUCAGCCAGCUUGUUCACCAUCUUCGCCACGGCUUCCCAUCGCCCACCAGUUCUCCACAUUCGUUGCGCGCAGUAUCUCCACAUCCUUGGAGGAAUCAACAAGGUGUCCAGGAACGAGACAUAAUCCGUCACGAAAUUGCCCUAUCGGCCCAAAGUAGUGCUCGUACGCGAUGAGAUUCCGGAGGAACGACUCGGUCUGUCUCGACCUCAGAGGCGCCAUGGUCAUACCCUUUUCGAAUCACGUCGAACAACGCAGCUUCUGGCUGGAUUCUUGAACCUGACAUUAGCCUCUUCAAGCCUGGCGCUUUUGAUGAUGCAACCCCUAUCCUUCCUUUUCUCCGCCCGUGCUGCGGGGAAGCCAAUUACGAUGGAUGAAGUGAAGCAAAUGCUUCACCUCACGAGGAGCUACGCUCCUUUCUAUGUAGCCUUCCCAGGAUACAGACUGAAGAAUGCAGAGAAGGUCCGCAACCUACUAUGCUGGCCGGGGCCUCAAUCAGGUCGAACAGCUCGCACAAGACAAAGAAUGGGAGCUGAUUCUCGAAGAGCAUUAAAUCACGCUCAGGUAAUACUCAUCCAGUCAUUGGAAGAUGGGAUCAUUCUCUCCUCUGGGACACCAGGUACUUGUAUAACUCAACGAUGAAGCAUCCAUCUAGUACAAGCAUUUGUAUGAAGUCGCUUGGGCUCAUGCUUGUAGGCUCAUCUGCGUAACAUUUUCUUGCUUCGGCUUCCAAUCUGCCCACACAUGCUGCGUAGCUUUCCACAUUGUUGGAAGGUUUCCUUCUGAUGAGGUGCUGGAAGUAACGUAGCUUGUGAUCUUCCAUCAUUUUUAGAUGAUCCUUGUUGGUGAUAAGGACCAAUAGCGAUCAAAUCGGGCUCGUAAGCAUUGGGGUUCACGUUCCGUAAACGUUUAUGAACUCUGUAGAUUGUGCAUUCUGAUUCUGCCCCCGCGCUCAGUUUCGUCAGUUUUUUAUUCAAGCUAGUGCAGGCUUGCUUUGUGCUGUAAAGAUAGAAUCACAGCCAAAAUAUAUGAUUUUGAUGUGUUUCACAUAAAUAUGAUCAAACAAUUUUGAUGAAAAAAAAAAAAAAACUACAAAAACUGAUUUGGCAGGAGUAUAUGUCCAUUUACAGACUAGAAGAAAACUUAUGCAUACCACAUGUUGUGGACGAACAAAUUACGAGAGAAAUAGCAAGUCUCUAUCUCAACUGAUAGAUAUUCAGUAUUCACUAAAACUAGGGUCACAACGUAUAUUGAAGUUGCACACGAGAUAUAUUGUAUACUACGUACAUUGGAAUUGCACACGAGGUGUAUAAGAGUUACAUUUCGUCUCAAGUGUUUUAAUUUUUAAAAACAAAUUUAACAAAAUAAGAAAAUAAAAUAUUUUCAUACACUACAAAAAAACAUGCGUAUAACAAUCGAAAUUAACGACCGAAAAUUUCAGUUGUUAAUUUUUGCGGCCUUAACGACCGUUUGACGACCUAUUUUAUUUUAUUUUUUAACAUUUUUUUAGCGACCGAAAAUUCGGUCGGUAUUUUUUUUUUCAUUAUUUUAAUUUUUUUUAACAAUCGAAUUUUCGGUCGUUAAAUUUUUCUUUAGAUUUUUUUUUAUUUUGAACGACCGAAAUUUCGGUCGUUAAUAUUUUUUUAUUUUUUAUUUAUUUUUUUAAUAAUUUUUUUAAAGUACCGAAAAUUAAGUCGUUAAUAUUAUUUUUUUUAUUUUUUAUUUUUAAAUAUAUAUAUAUAUAGUUAUUAUUUUUUUUGUUAAUUAUAUUCAUUAUUUUCAGAACAUUAAUAAUUUUAUUAUUUUAAAAUAAUAAACUAUUUGAUUGAAUUUAUUUGAUUAAUUUUCAAAUAUUUUAUUAUUUUAAAAUAAUAAAUUAUUUGAUGAUAUUGUAUAUUGAAUUAUUUUAAAUCUAAUAAUAAUAAAUUUAAUAUUUUAAUUAAUCUAAAUAAAUCUAAUAAUUUAUUACAAUAAUAUUGUAUAUUACGAUUAUUAUUUGAUUGUAAAUUAUUUGAUUUACUAAAUGAAUGAUAGACACGAAUUUCUUAAACAAAAAUAUAGUAGUUAACACUUAGAAAUAUACUAAUUAAUAAAAUUAAAAAAUCUAGUAGUCAACGCUUAAAACCUCCAAUCUUUCUUGCUCAUUGAAAUUGAAUUUUCGAGAAAAUCCUAGAAGAAUUAAAGAAUUAAACUUUUUGAUGGAAGUGGUAAUUACGGAGUGAAUGAAUACUGUAAAAUACAAUUUCUCUUUUUUACCCUUUCUCAUAAUUAGGUCACUAAUCAUCAAUCCCCGUGAAAGCAAAAGAAUUAAUCUCUUGGCCAUCAAUUUUGAUCCUAUCAACGCUGUAAAAUACUCCCUCUGUCCACGAAAAAGUGCCAUACUUACCAUUUUUUUUUCCACGAAAAAGUGCCCUGUUUACCUUUUUGUACAUUCAUACCCUUUACUUUUCAAUUUAUUUACAAUUUAUGUCAUUAAUAAAUCCACACUUUUAUUUAAUCUAUGCAAUUAACCCUCACAAUUUACUCACUAAUAAAUCCACACUUUUAUUUAAUCUAUGCAAUUAACCCACACAAUUAACUCGUUAAUUAAAACUACGAAACCAACUCCCCCACGCCUAAUCAAUCCCAUUUCCCCCAAAAUUAAAUUACUCUUUCUCUAAACUCAAACAAGUGGAAGAAAUACACACAAACCCUCCAAAUUGUAUCUACAGCCCGAUUUAAUGGCUUUUGGGCUAUGUGUGUUUGUUGAUUAGCUCAAUGGAAUAAUAAAUAUGUUCUGAAAAUUAACUCGACUUCACGUGUGAAUUCCGCACUACAAGAAAUUGAGUUUUUACCCACACAUAAUUACCCACACAUAAUAAUGUGUGGUAGUUUAGCCACACAUAGUUUCAAAAUGUGUAGGUAAUUCACACAAAAAAAAUUCAUUAGUUAUUGACUUUUAAAAUGUGUGGCAAAAAUAUUUUCGUGAUAUUUAUUAUUUUACGGUUAUUUUUAAGUUUUAUUUAUGGAUAAUAAAAUUUAUUUUUAAAUUUGUUGCGCCAACGUGGCAAACUAAUAAAAGUUAUUAACCACACAUAAUUCAAAAUUAUCUAUGUGUGGGUAAUGAAUUUUUAUCAUUAUUUAUUCUUGACAUGUAAGAAACGUGGGAAAAUAUUUUUAGCUACAUUUAUAUUUUGGCUUUAAUUAAUUAUUUAUGCAAAUCUUAAUUGAUGUUUUACCCACACAUAAUUAUCCACACAUAUUUUGAAAAAUGUGUAGGUGAAACAAUUUGAAACUUUCAAUUAUUAUUGACAUUUAAAAUGUGUAGCAGAAAUUUUUUUUGUAACAUUUAUUAUAUGGCGGUAAUUCUUUUUUAAGUUUUAUUUUAUUUAAUGAAGUUUAUUUUUAUAUUUGGUGUGCACCCUCUAUUAAUUUUUUUAAACCACACAUAAUAUAUGUGUGGAUAAUAAUUUUUAUAUUUAUAUUUUGACAAAUUAAAGUAAAUUUAAUUUUAUUUUUAUAUAUUAGUGCCAACUAAUCAAUUGAUUUCUCUACAAUUGUACAAUAAAAUAAAAAUUAAAUAGUCUUUAACAAUAUUAAAAUAGGCAUAAAAAAAACAAGAAUGAAUAUGUUAAAAAAAACACAACAAUUAAAAUAGGCAUAAAAAUUAAAUACUAGUCUUUAACAUUAAAAUCGAACUCAAUAAAGAGUAGGAUUGUUUAAACUCUCAACAACUAAAAGACAAGAAAAUAUUAACAAACUAAUCAAUGUCAUUAGAACUACCCCUAUUGUAAUUUUUACCCCACUCAAAACAACUUUUUCAGCUUUCUUAGUAUCCGUGCCGGCACCCAAAUGGGGCACUUUUUCGUGGACGGAGUGAGUAGUUAUUAAUUUUAAUCUUAAGGGGAUGAGAUUAAUGGAGACCACUAAAUAUUCAAAGAAUAUAAACCAAAUCUCAGUCAUUGAUCUUAUAUAAUUUAACGGUCACCAUUUAUUCACGCCAUGUUCAACGAAUUUUUUUGUUGAAUAUAUACAGGGUCGAAUCCUAUAAUCCCCCAAAAAAUCAACAUUUAUUCACGCCAUGUCCAACGGAUUUGAUGAACGUUCAUCAAAUCCGUUGGACAUAUCAAUAAUUCCGUUGAAUGUUCAUCAAAUUCGUUGAACAUGGCUUGAAUAAAUNNNNNNNNNNNNNNNNNNNNNNNNNNNNNNNNNNNNNNNNNNNNNNNNNNNNNNNNNNNNNNNNNNNNNNNNNNNNNNNNNNNNNNNNNNNNNNNNNNNNNNNNNNNNNNNNNNNNNNNNNNNNNNNNNNNNNNNNNNNNNNNNNNNNNNNNNNNNNNNNNNNNNNNNNNNNNNNNNNNNNNNNNNNNNNNNNNNNNNNNNNNNNNNNNNNNNNNNNNNNNNNNNNNGUUCAGUAAAAUUGUUGGCGUAUUCAGUAAAAUUAUUGACUUAUUCAGCUUCUCUGCUUCUCUCGGAUAUUUAGCUUCUCUAUUGAUCCCUUCCCUAUAUAUAUUAAAUCACGAAGAUACCAAUUGCUAAAAAAAAGGUGUGUUUAUUGAAAUUAGAUAGAGCAAACUUACUUGAACAUGAUUGGCAGUGGAUGAAGUAGUACUAAGCAGUAAGCAGCUGCUGGUUGGUUUCGAGAGCAAGUAAUAUAUCUUCAGGGGAAUAUACACUCAAUAUAACUUACAUGCUGUUUUGGGAGGUGCUGAUUCAAUAAUGAAACACAGAUUUUCUUUUUCUUUGAAGACCAAUAAUGAAACACAGUAUAUAUAUAGACAUGUAUCUGUGUGCGCAGUUUGCAUUUCACAACUUAUCAUCAUAAAAUACAUCAGCUUGCAUACAUUUAUUCAGUAAUUGAUGGUGUUAUGCGUGUGGACCGAGCACAAAGUCGUCGAUCGUUCGCAUUUUAUAAUGUGUAUAUAUAGUUGGCAUUAAUUUAAUGUCUAAGCUUGUGCGUCAGCGCAAAGUCGUCGUACGUUCGCGUGCAAGCACACGGCUGUUGAUCACCGGACAGACCCGACUCAGACAGGCAACAUGCACCACCGGUUCAAAGUCAAAAACAAGUUCAGGACUCCUCUUUUAUUAAAACGUUUCUUUUCAUUCAUUCUUCUUCUUAAACGUAUUUACUGAUUUGCAUAUAUGCUAUGAUUUCAAUGUAUGUAAACGUGAUUUGAUUUCUGUUUUAAGAAAAUGAAGAUUUGUUGUUGGAAUGAAUGAAUGACUUGCUGGAAUAGAUAUUUGACACUUCAACUAAUACGAGAUGUAUUAAUAAUCACGCUAAAGAGAACGCGAAACUCCUGCAAAUUCUCGUGAUCAUGUAAGAACAGCCGUCUCUAUGAGAAAAUUAUUUCAAGCAUACCCUAGAACAAUAAAUCCUAGCCUUAUAUAGGAAAAGGUAAACAACUAACGAGGCCCUAUGCUAAUGAGCCUUAACGCUAAUUAAAAGACAUAAAAUAAAGAAUACUAAUUGGUGAAACGAUUAGGUCUUCUAAUCUCUCUGCGUUGACGUCUCUCAGCCAAACUUUGCUUAUUUACAAUAAUAAAAAUAAAUAAAUAAAUUUGAUUCAUAUAAAUAAAAAAAAUCAUAUAUUUUGAAGAAAAAAAAAACAAAUUAAAAAAACAAUUGAAUUGAAUAAGGAUGGUGCAUGAAUAGCACAAUAAGAUUUUUAAAUUAAAUUUGAAGACUUAAUUUUUAUUAACUGAAAGGUAUAUAUAUGAAACUCUAAUUUAAAAAAGAAACAAACGAUUCAUGAGUCAAAUAAAUAACUUAAUUAUAAAAUAAUCUAUGGAUCCAAAUAUUUAGAAAUAGAGAGUGAGAGACGAGAAAUGAGUGUAGAGAAUUAAUAGAGUUUAGCAAUAGGAUGGGUGCCGUAAGAAAAUAGGGUUUUAUUUAUUUUUUUAAAAUGGCGAGUUUUGUAUUUUUGUGAGCAAGUUGGGUAGGGUCAACUUUGAUAUUGGUUUUGUGUGAUAUAUUUUUGGGUUUUUAAUGUGUUAUGGUCAAAUACUGUACUUAUAGCAAUCUGCAUAUAUUAGAAAAUAGGGGUCUCUCAAUUGUAUUAUGUCGUAAUUUCAAUUUGAUGUCUUCAAUUCGAGGUGUAAAUUAAGAUAAUAUUUUAUUUAUUAUGUAUAUUCCAUUUCUAGAUAACUUUUAAUUGAUUCGUAAUAAGAAAUAAAUCACAUGGAAUGUCUAGACACUACAACAAAAUUCACCUAUUAGGACUUUCAUGAGAGUCCUAUUAUAUGGUAUAAUAGGACUUUCACUACUAUAGGACUUUCCUUAGGAGAGUCCUAUUUGCGUUAGUCACUAUAUGCGUAAUAGGACACUCAUUGUAAUAGGAUGCUCAAGAAAGUCCUAUUAGAGUAUGCUUGAAAACCCAUUUUUGUGACACUUAGGAGUGUCCUAAUAAUUAGUGUCCUGUUACAAUAUAUUUUUGUGACACUUAGGAGUGUCCUAAUAAUUAGUGUCCUGUUAUAAUAUAUAUUGUAUUGUUCUAAAAUUUGUAGUUUGACCUAGAUACAUGUAACAUUCUAAAAUUACAAAUUGCUACUAAUAAUACGUAUAUAAGAAGGAUUAAUUGUAACCAUAGAAAUAUUGCUAAAUUCAUUUAUAUUUUUCAACUGAACUCGUUCCAAAACAACAAACUUUAAGAUCUUAUGAAAUACAUCUGCUCCACCACUCUUGUAUGUCACCAAAGCUAUAACCAUGUUAAAACUUAAUAAAACUCACAAGAUUCUUGAGGAAAUAACCAUAACUAAAUUUCUUUCAUUCAUUUUGUCGUGGCAAAGACCAAAAAAGAGACAGCAAAAAAAGAGAACAGCAGCCAGCACGAUCAAUCUUCUUCAAUCAUCAUCGUCGUCGGUCACCUAAAAUGAAAAGAACAUCAGGAUUAUGAGUUCAAAUCAAAUCUAAUUUGAAUCUAUUGAUCUAAUGAGAAAUAAGAAUCAUGGUUUUUAAGAAUAGAAAAAGAAUUUAAGAAUAGAUGAUUACCAAGUGUCGAGGCCAUGCAAUGCAUGCUCCAAUUGCAUCUCCAAUUGUGGACAAGUUUGAAUAUGGCCUAAUCAAAUCUUCUUCCCAUUCUAUAGGAACUGAAACUUGAACUUCACACCAAUUUAAUCCUAGUCGUUUUCCUCCAACAUCGUGAUUGGGAUCUACACUUCGAACCCAACCUUUAGCCACAGCUUUUCUAGAAUUGAACAAACUCUUCAACUAUAUUUGUUCUUACAUUGUAUAUGUGGCUGCAGAUUUCAUGUUUGUGUUCAAACAAUGCAUGUAAAUCUAAAUCAAGUAGCAUUUUGUUACACACUUGAGUUUUUAAAUAGAAUUACAUGUUUUGGUAGUCCUAAUCUACUAUGAGGAUUAAUAAAAGGGAUUAAUCUCUUUUGCAUGUUGGUUUAUAGUUAAAGACACAUAUUUUUUACAUGAUCAAUUGUGUGUGGUUUUAUCAAAUAUUACUCAUAUCGAAAUCUGAAAAAUCUGAUAUAUGAAUACGAUGGUGAAUAUAUACUCAUAACUUUAUUUAUAAUGAAGGUUUGUAAAAUGUUCGAUGUAGGUAUUUUAAUGUAAAGAUUAUAUUUAUACUCAUAACGUUGUUUAUAGUGAGGUUUAUUCUUCACAUUAUUUUUUUGUAUUGAUGUUUAUAAUGAGAUUUUUUCACAUUUAUUUUUUGUAUUUUUUCUUUAUGUUUAAGUAUAUAUGAGCUGUUUUUUGUUAGGCCUCCCUUACCAAGCACAUCGGAUGAACUCAUGUAAGCCCCGCUUCACGUCUUCCAUCCAAUUACUAUACAUAAAUGAUGCUUAUAAUAAACAACAGAUGUCACUUUUAAUAACAAUAAUCAAUAUUUUUAUCAAUAAAAAAUGAAGUCAUACACACAAUCACAAAUCAUGAUAUAAAAUGAUUUCUUAACAACAAUUGAUACUUAAUUAUAUUAAAUGCAAAUGAUACUUGUAAAUGUUAUUUUUUAUAAAAGUAAGUGAUAUUUUAUUGAAAAUAAAUUAUACGUUACAUGACACUUUCAAUAACAAAAAAAAUUAUACUUUUUUGAAUAAAUCUGGGCUAGGCAGCACUGGUUGACUCGGACAACGCAAUACGAUCACCUGAUGAGAUAAAUUUUGUUUAUGUAUUAAUUAUUUCUACAUAUAAAAUUUUACAUAUUCAUAGACCGUGCAUCGCACGGGUAUAACACUAGUUUUGGUGGAAUCGGAUCGAGCGAAGUUGAAUAUUCUUCAAUUCAAGUUUAGUACAUUAUUAUUGAGUUGAGCUUUAAAUUUUGUUUAAGAAAUAAUUCGAGAUUCACAAACUUUAAUCAAGCUCAAAUAAACUUAGUGUGUACACAUUGGUACAAACUAAAUUGUGGGACAAAGGAUCUCAUCUGAUACUUUGUUGGAAUAUGCGAUAUUGGACCCCCACAGUAUCCCUUACUAUUUGGACAAAAUACGGCUCUUCUAACAUGUGAUGGAGCAGAAAUGGUCAAACUCAAAUUAGUUUACAUGGCUACAUGUGAUGGAGCAGAAAUGGUGAGUCGCUCUUCUAAUUCAAACCACCUGUAAUAUGCUACACACUGUUGGCGUGAUUGCGAGCAGAAGCAGCACUGCACCAACAAGUAGAGAAAUAAUAAGUCAAGGACUGCUUAAAUAAUUACGCCUCAACGUGGCCAUCCACCUAUUCCUUCUUUUCCUGCAAUGCUUUUCCACAUUCUCAAACAUCUUCGCAUAGAUGAAGCUUGCGCAGGGCACAGCCACCAAUUCACCCAGCUUGUUCACCAUCUUCGUCACGGCUUCGUCAUCGCCCAACCAGUUCUCCACGAUUCCGUUGCGCGACAGUAUCUCCAUAUCCUUGGAGGAAUCAACAAGGCAGUCCAGGAACGUGAUAUAAUCAGUCACGAAAUUGUCCUGAUGGGGGCUUCGCAACGUGGGCUAUGGCUACGUUGGAUGACAAUAUUUUGGGGUUAAAUAAGAAAUUUUGUUGCUCCAAAAAGUAAAAAAAGAAAUAAUAAUAAUAAUAAUAAUAAUAAUAAUAAUAAUAAUAAUAAUAAUAAUAAUAAUAAUAAUAAUAAUAAUAAUAAUAAUAAUAAUAAUAAUAAUAAUAAUAAUAAUAGUAAUAAUAGUUGUCUGAAUGUGAUAUUAAAUAUUAGGACAUGCCAAUAAAUUAGGUGAAAACUCUUUAUGGGAAUGUUCGGUUGUUCGAGAUUAAAUUAUUUCGAGAUUAUUUGAUAUUGAAUUGGUUUGAAAUUAUCUGAAAUUAUUUUUGUUACUAGAACAAGGUUCAUAAGCUAUGACUAAUUCUAGGUGCAUGUGUGAGAUUAAAUAUUGGGCCAUAUCUAUUGAAUCGAAUAAGAUAUUGUAUAACUAAUCUUAUCCAGUCCUACAAACCGAACACUCCUAUAUACUAUAUAUAUAAGAAAAAAAUAAUAAUAAAGUUGAACAUUCUCGCCGGAAAAUUCGCCAACAUAUUAGAAUUUAAAGUUCACGAGUCAUUAGAAAACAAGUCCAUUUAAUCCUGUCAUUGAUAACAAUUAUUACACGACAUAUAUCUAGUAUACUGAAUUUGUUUUAGUUAUUAUAUCUAGAGGCCUAUGAACUUUAUAGCUUUUUAUGCGACAAUUGAUAUUUUGUCUCGUUCUUUUAUUGUUUAGAAUUUCUCUCAAUUAAAUAUUUGUAUGGAAAAACUAAUAAUGCAGCAUAUAUAUUUGGGCAAAAAUAUUAAAUUUGUCCAUUAAUUGAACAUGUGAUUGGGAUCAUAAACAUGGGAUCCUCUGUCCCACAAUUUAGUUCGCUAUUAAAUGAACAUGUGAUUGGGAUCAUAAACAUGGGAUCCUUUGUCCCACAAUUUAGUUCGCUCUUGUAAUUCAAACCACCUGUAAUAUGGUAAACACUGUUUGCGUGAAUGUGAGCAGAAGCAGCACUGCACCAACAAUUAGAGACAUAAUAAGCCAAGGACUACUUAAAUAAUUACGCCUCAACGUGGCCAUCCACCUAUUCCUUCUUUUCCUACAAUGCUUUUCCACAUUCUCAAACAUCUCCGCAUAGAUGAAUCUUCUGCUGCGCACAGCCACCGAAUCAGCCAGCUUGUUCACCAUCUUCGCCACGGCUUCCUCAUCGCCCAUCCAGUUCUUCACGAUUCCGUCACGCGACAGUAUCUCCACAUCCUUGGAGGAAUCAAUAAGGCAGUUCAGCAAUAUGACAUAAUCCGUCACGAAAUUCUCCUGAUCCUGCCCAAAGUACUGCUCGUACGCGACGAGAUUCCGGAGGACCGACUCGGUCUUGUCCUCGACCUUCAGAGGCGCCAUGAUCAUCACCC